This 253-nucleotide ribosomal RNA is filed under the name uncultured bacterium. RNAcentral's name for it is "partial 16S ribosomal RNA". It matches the Rfam family "Bacterial small subunit ribosomal RNA", at positions 524 to 776 of the family's 1533-position model. The record is from RNAcentral.
UACGGGGGGGGCAAGCGUUGUUCGGAAUUACUGGGCGUAAAGGGCUCGUAGGCGGCCAACUAAGUCAGACGUGAAAUCCCUCGGCUUAACCGGGGAACUGCGUCUGAUACUGGAUGGCUUGAGAUUGGGAGAGGGAUGCGGAAUUCCAGGUGUAGCGGUGAAAUGCGUAGAUAUCGAGAGGAACAUCGGUGGCGAAGGCGGCCUUCUGGACGGUGACUGACGCUGAGACGCGAAAGCGUGGGGAGCAAACAGG